Molecule: ribosomal RNA, 1430 nt
Filed under: Lactiplantibacillus plantarum
Lineage: Bacteria; Bacillati; Bacillota; Bacilli; Lactobacillales; Lactobacillaceae
Description: bacterial SSU rRNA
Rfam family: Bacterial small subunit ribosomal RNA
Source: RNAcentral
GCAGUCGAACGAACUCUGGUAUUGAUUGGUGCUUGCAUCAUGAUUUACAUUUGAGUGAGUGGCGAACUGGUGAGUAACACGUGGGAAACCUGCCCAGAAGCGGGGGAUAACACCUGGAAACAGAUGCUAAUACCGCAUAACAACUUGGACCGCAUGGUCCGAGCUUGAAAGAUGGCUUCGGCUAUCACUUUUGGAUGGUCCCGCGGCGUAUUAGCUAGAUGGUGGGGUAACGGCUCACCAUGGCAAUGAUACGUAGCCGACCUGAGAGGGUAAUCGGCCACAUUGGGACUGAGACACGGCCCAAACUCCUACGGGAGGCAGCAGUAGGGAAUCUUCCACAAUGGACGAAAGUCUGAUGGAGCAACGCCGCGUGAGUGAAGAAGGGUUUCGGCUCGUAAAACUCUGUUGUUAAAGAAGAACAUAUCUGAGAGUAACUGUUCAGGUAUUGACGGUAUUUAACCAGAAAGCCACGGCUAACUACGUGCCAGCAGCCGCGGUAAUACGUAGGUGGCAAGCGUUGUCCGGAUUUAUUGGGCGUAAAGCGAGCGCAGGCGGUUUUUUAAGUCUGAUGUGAAAGCCUUCGGCUCAACCGAAGAAGUGCAUCGGAAACUGGGAAACUUGAGUGCAGAAGAGGACAGUGGAACUCCAUGUGUAGCGGUGAAAUGCGUAGAUAUAUGGAAGAACACCAGUGGCGAAGGCGGCUGUCUGGUCUGUAACUGACGCUGAGGCUCGAAAGUAUGGGUAGCAAACAGGAUUAGAUACCCUGGUAGUCCAUACCGUAAACGAUGAAUGCUAAGUGUUGGAGGGUUUCCGCCCUUCAGUGCUGCAGCUAACGCAUUAAGCAUUCCGCCUGGGGAGUACGGCCGCAAGGCUGAAACUCAAAGGAAUUGACGGGGGCCCGCACAAGCGGUGGAGCAUGUGGUUUAAUUCGAAGCUACGCGAAGAACCUUACCAGGUCUUGACAUACUAUGCAAAUCUAAGAGAUUAGACGUUCCCUUCGGGGACAUGGAUACAGGUGGUGCAUGGUUGUCGUCAGCUCGUGUCGUGAGAUGUUGGGUUAAGUCCCGCAACGAGCGCAACCCUUAUUAUCAGUUGCCAGCAUUAAGUUGGGCACUCUGGUGAGACUGCCGGUGACAAACCGGAGGAAGGUGGGGAUGACGUCAAAUCAUCAUGCCCCUUAUGACCUGGGCUACACACGUGCUACAAUGGAUGGUACAACGAGUUGCGAACUCGCGAGAGUAAGCUAAUCUCUUAAAGCCAUUCUCAGUUCGGAUUGUAGGCUGCAACUCGCCUACAUGAAGUCGGAAUCGCUAGUAAUCGCGGAUCAGCAUGCCGCGGUGAAUACGUUCCCGGGCCUUGUACACACCGCCCGUCACACCAUGAGAGUUUGUAACACCCAAAGUCGGUGGGGUAACCUUUUAGAACCAGCC